CCGGAAUCAUUGGGCGUAAAGCGCGCGUAGGCGGCCAGCCAAGUCCGGUGUGAAAGUCACAGGCUCAACCUGUGAAUGCCGCUGGAAACUGUCUGGCUAGAGUCCGGAAGGGGCGAGUGGAAUUCCUGGUGUAGCGGUGAAAUGCGCAGAUAUCAGGAGGAACACCUAUGGCGAAGGCAGCUCGCUGGGACGGUACUGACGCUGAGGAGCGAAAGCGUGGGGAGCGAUCCGG
RNAcentral lists this ribosomal RNA (232 nucleotides) under uncultured bacterium. Its description in RNAcentral is "partial 16S ribosomal RNA". It matches the Rfam family "Bacterial small subunit ribosomal RNA", at positions 545 to 776 of the family's 1533-position model. The record is from RNAcentral.